UGUAUCAGAAAUGUUCAAAGCUUGAUGGAAGUACACAAGCCCCAAUAUUCAAGUUCAAAAUGGACCUUCCGACUAACGAUUUACUAAAUAUCAGGAAAAUACUGUAUGUGAAAUAUGGGUUUAAGCUUAAGCGUUAAGUUACUUUUCUUGUAGGUGAAAUGCUGCGGUAACUUUACUGCUAGCGAUUGGCAAUAUCCUGCUGAGGGAGUGAGGAUUCCUUCUUCUUGCUGCAUUCAGACUGGAUCUACAACUGAAGAGAAGUGUCAUGAAAUGUACACGCAGGGUUGUUAUCUAAAAGUAAUCGAGUUUUUGAAAGAAAUCAUCGAAGUUGCCGCUAUUGGAAAAACCUUCUUCCCGUUAGUAGGAGUAAUUUUAUCCUGCUGCCUAGCAAGUGUUAUAAACAAAACUAAAUAUGAACCAAUGGCUAAGGGCUUCAAUCCACUUGAAUAACGCACAUAAAUGAUAAGCCAGACAACGUAAGACAUCAAAAUAUUACUUUUCAGCGAUUAGGCUAAUAUUCAAGUACUUUAUACAUAUUUUAUAAUGUGCACUUUGCAAACUGUUUUUUGUUCCAUUUGUCAUAUUUUUUGAAUGAAUAUAUGUUUGAAUAUAU
Molecule: RNA transcript, 613 nt
Organism: Dendroctonus ponderosae (mountain pine beetle)
Lineage: Eukaryota; Metazoa; Arthropoda; Insecta; Coleoptera; Curculionidae
Exons: 2
Source: RefSeq, a predicted model, not a curated record